Molecule: long non-coding RNA, 1043 nt
Organism: Ictalurus furcatus (blue catfish)
Lineage: Eukaryota; Metazoa; Chordata; Actinopteri; Siluriformes; Ictaluridae
Exons: 3
Source: RefSeq, a predicted model, not a curated record
AAAUCCUAAUGUUGGCAAAAUAAAUAAACCGAAAACGGUGAAGGGUUAAGCAUUUAUUUAAUACACACAGCCAGGAUAAUAGAAAUUCCUUCGUACGUGCUUAGAGAUUUCAACAUUGCUUUCAAACAUUGUUUAGGAUCGUUCUUUUUGUUACUGAAAAUCUUGGAAUUCUGAUUUUUUUUCUUUUCUUUUUUUUCAUUUAAAUGCAAUGGUGGAUGCAAAUGUUUGGACUGAACGAUGCCAGAAGUUCCCUAACGCGUGUUCUUUUUAUGUUACGUCAUUGUGAUGUUGUCUUACUAUCGUUACUACAUUCUCAGAGUGCAUCGAACUCAAUGGAAUAUCUUAUAAUGGGGUGAAACGGAUCAGUUCCUCUGGACAGAGCUGCUUAAACUGGUUAGAUAUAAGCAACACGUACAACCUGAGCAUUGACUUGAACGCUGACCCAGGUAAAUUACUUUUUUUUAAAAAACAAAAAAAACCAAACAAUUUUACAAUUCAUUUGUGCACUAAUGUAACGUGAAUCAUUACCUGAAUCUUUAAAAACUAGACUAGAGAACUUGCUGGUGUUUUUUGAGGUUGAGCAAAUACUAUUUCACUGCACAGUACCUGAAGUCAACACACAUGCAUUUCAGCCUUGCCACGUGUGCAGCACCAUUGUGUGUAUGAAAUGUGCUGUUGCACUUAUAUAGAGUGAUAGUACCGGGAAGAUCGGUAUACAGGUGCGGAAUAUAAAACAUACCGUUCAUAUCUGUCUCAGGAGAGUGGGAUCACAGCUACUGCCACAACCCGGACGCCUCUGACGAGCCGUGGUGUUUUGUAGCUUCGGAGGAAGAGGGUAUUGAGAGGCAAGACUGCGUCUUAGAGACGUGCCAAGGUAUACAAGUACAGACGAAGCCACCAAAUAUCCGUCCAGUGCUUAGGGAGAGUGUUGCAGUGAAACUCGACCCUGGUGUGAACAGUAGACCGAACCUCAGACCCAAGAAGAAAAAAGACCCUGGAGCUUUUGGCUACACACUAACGGCCCUUCUCAUGCUGAUCAUCAU